GUGAGGAAGGGUCCCCGCGCUGGGUCGGGCCGGGCCCGCAGCGCUCGGGGCUCCCCGCGCCGCUCUGCCUCUGUGCGCUCCGCAGGCUCCCGGCGCCGCGCUCCUUGCAGCUGCUUUACCGCUCCUUUUAGCGCUUCGGAACCGCGUGCCCUCCGUGUUGCAUGAACAGAGGCACAGUCCUGACUUAGAAUCGCUUCUGGGGUGCACCCAGAGUGCGGAUCGUGACAGAACAGUUUUGCAGUGAAAAAAGGAAAGAUUGAGGAAAUAAACUCUACAGCUAUUAAUGGAUUAAUCUUUUGCCAAAUUGGCCAGGUGAAUUGCCUCACGGUGGGAGCCUCCAGCCACCAAAGCUAGGGCAAGGUGAGCAGCAGGACUUCUGGGAAGCAGUGCUGGAGAGGAGCCAGACGCCUCCAGUUCGGUGUUAGAUCCGCUCGAGCUGUAACCUGAUCCAGCACAACACAGGCUGCUGUAACUCUGCACAUUUCCCUGAGCAGUAGCAGGAGUACAAGACAUUGAAAGCUUUCCCAUUUCAUCUGAUGUUUCUGCAGUUUUACUUUGCUGUUAACAAAGAUGUGCAUUUGCUGGAAAAUGCUCUCUGGGCAUCUUGAUUUACUCUGCAGCUAAUAUUUUUUUUCUUCUGUUUUUUUAAGUUGAAGCAGACUUUCCCAUUAAGAAAUUCAGUUUAGCAUAGGUCCUGAAUAUUGGAAGAACUAUAUCCACCUUACUCAUGGUGGUUGUGUAGUGUGAUUAAAGUAUUCAAGAAACAGUCAAGUAAUUCACGUUUCUUACAGAAAGUAGACACUCCUAAAAUUCUUAGAAAGUAUUUGUUUUGUUCUGGUAUUUAUAGCUGUAGGUCUCAUUGUUUUCCUAAAUCUAUAUGCAGAUACUAAGUAGAAGUAAAACACUGAACUUCUUGGUACUACCUAUGGAAAAAUUGAGGUAUUAUGGGCAUACACAAAGUUGUUUAAAAUAUGACUAUAAUCUUGCUAUUUAAACUGAGAAAGUUAAUACGAAAAUUAUUUUAAACUAGAGAAAACGAGAUCUUUUUUGUGAGAUGAAAACUGAUGAGAUUAGCAUUUAUUUCUACUGCCUCCUUUAGCCUUAGGCUUUUUUUUUU
This 1117-nucleotide long non-coding RNA is filed under the name Geospiza fortis (medium ground-finch). Its description in RNAcentral is "lncRNA (ENSGFOG00000013154.1)". Lineage: Eukaryota; Metazoa; Chordata; Aves; Passeriformes; Thraupidae. The record is from RNAcentral.